CUGAAUGCUUGUGAGCUAUACCUGGGCAGGGCAAAGCCCAAAGGAACCUCGGAUGAAGGUCUGUCCAUAGUGGUACUGAAGUGCAGGUUUGUCAUCAGACCUGGGUAUAGGGGUGAAAGACUAAAUCGAAUCAUCCAGUUGCUG
Molecule: non-coding RNA, 144 nt
Filed under: Mus musculus (house mouse)
Lineage: Eukaryota; Metazoa; Chordata; Mammalia; Rodentia; Muridae
Description: Eukaryotic large subunit ribosomal RNA
Rfam family: Eukaryotic large subunit ribosomal RNA
Source: Rfam by way of RNAcentral